RNAcentral lists this ribosomal RNA (371 nucleotides) under uncultured organism. Its description in RNAcentral is "partial 16S ribosomal RNA". It matches the Rfam family "Bacterial small subunit ribosomal RNA", at positions 525 to 896 of the family's 1533-position model. The record is from RNAcentral.
GGGAGGGGCGCAAGCGUUGUUCGGAAUCAUUGGCGUAAAGCGAGUGCAGCGGUUCGGCAAGUCGGGGUGUGAAAGCCCAGGGCUCAACCCUGGAACUGCACUCGAAACUGCCGGACUAGAGUCCCGGAGAGGAUGGCGGAAUUCCCGGUGUAGAGGUGAAAUUCGUAGAUAUCGGGAGGAACACCAGUGGCGAAGGCGGCCACCUGGACGGCGACUGACGCUCAGACUCGAAAGCGUGGGGAGCAAACAGGAUUAGAUACCCUGGUAGUCCACGCCGUAAACGUUGGGUGCUCGACGUCGCGGUAUUGACCCUGCGGUGUCCAAACUAACGCGUGAAGCACCCCGCCUGGGGAGUACGGCCGCAAAGGCUA